GGACGAACGCUGGCGGCGUGCCUAAUACAUGCAAGUAGAACGCUGAAGGAGGAGCUUGCUUCUCUGGAUGAGUUGCGAACGGGUGAGUAACGCGUAGUGUAACCUGCCUGGUAGCGGGGGAUAACUAUUGGAAACGAUAGCUAAUACCGCAUAAGAGUAGAUGUUGCAUGACAUUUGCUUAAAAGGUGCAAUUGCAUCACUACCAGAUGGACCUGCGUUGUAUUAGCUAGUUGGUGAGGUAACGGCUCACCAAGGCAACGAUACAUAGCCGACCUGAGAGGGUGAUCGGCCACACUGGGACUGAGACACGGCCCAGACUCCUACGGGAGGCAGCAGUAGGGAAUCUUCGGCAAUGGACGGGAGUCUGACCGAGCAACGCCGCGUGAGUGAAGAAGGUUUUCGGAUCGUAAAGCUCUGUUGUAAGAGAAGAACGAGUGUGAGAGUGGAAAGUUCACACUGUGACGGUAUCUUACCAGAAAGGGACGGCUAACUACGUGCCAGCAGCCGCGGUAAUACGUAGGUCCCGAGCGUUGUCCGGAUUUAUUGGGCGUAAAGCGAGCGCAGGCGGUUAGAUAAGUCUGAAGUUAAAGGCUGUGGCUUAACCAUAGUACGCUUUGGAAACUGUUUAACUUGAGUGCAAGAGGGGAGAGUGGAAUUCCAUGUGUAGCGGUGAAAUGCGUAGAUAUAUGGAGGAACACCGGUGGCGAAAGCGGCUCUCUGGCUUGUAACUGACGCUGAGGCUCGAAAGCAU
RNAcentral lists this ribosomal RNA (751 nucleotides) under uncultured Streptococcaceae bacterium. RNAcentral describes it as "bacterial SSU rRNA". It matches the Rfam family "Bacterial small subunit ribosomal RNA", at positions 27 to 762 of the family's 1533-position model. Lineage: Bacteria; Bacillati; Bacillota; Bacilli; Lactobacillales; Streptococcaceae. The record is from RNAcentral.